This 99-nucleotide ribosomal RNA is filed under the name uncultured bacterium. RNAcentral's name for it is "partial 16S ribosomal RNA". It matches the Rfam family "Bacterial small subunit ribosomal RNA", at positions 1386 to 1482 of the family's 1533-position model. The record is from RNAcentral.
CACACCGCCCGUCACACCAUGGGAGUCAGUUGUGCCGGAAGCCGGCGACCCAACCCGCAAGGGGGGUAGCCGUCCAUGGUAUGGCUGAUGACUGGGGUG